This 3540-nucleotide long non-coding RNA is filed under the name Homo sapiens (human). RNAcentral describes it as "HSALNT0344099". The record is from RNAcentral. Lineage: Eukaryota; Metazoa; Chordata; Mammalia; Primates; Hominidae.
GGGAAUGUGUGGAAUUGGGGGUGGGUGGGUGAGAAGGAUGAAUCCUGACUACUGAGCUAGGGAUAAAGGGCAAAGGACACUGAGCAGGCUCUUGUAAUAAUCCAGGCAAGCACUGAUGUGCUUUGGACCAUGAUGGUGGCAGUGGAAGUAGCAAGAAGUGAUUGGAUUCUCAAUAUAUUUGGGCAGCAGAACUUACAGGGUUCCCAAACAGGAUGAAUGUGGGUUGUAAGAAAAGAAGGGGAGCAAAGGACAGCUUCCAAGUUUUUGUUUCAAAGUAUUGUUAAUUACCAAGACAUGGAAGACUAUGGAGGGAACAUUUUUAAAUGACAGAAAACAGGAGUUCAAUUUGGGGCAUGUUAAAUAUGAGAGGAUUUUUAGAGAUCAGGUUGAGAUGUUGAGAAGGCAUUUGGACAUGUUAGCCUGGAGUUUAGGAGCAUUUGGUAUAUAUAAACUUGGAAGUCAGCAAUAAAUUGUAAUGGCAAACAAAUCCUCCUGCCUUGUAUACACAAGAGAGAUAUUAGGGGGAGUUGGGAGGACAGCUUCUAAAUAUUUGUUGGAUGAAUCAAUAAAUGGAAUGAAUUAUUUUUUCCAGCUGUACAUGGAGUUUGUUUAAGCCGUUUGUAUUGAACAGUUUGCAAUGUGAUCAACAGGACAUAUUUGGGGAAUAAUCGAGUAGGCCAGUGGUUCUUGGUGUGAGCUGGGAGAACUUUUGCAAUUGGAGAUGUUGUGAAAUCCUCUAGGGACUUUCUCAAGUUACACCACCAUUCUUGGUUGAAAUUGUUGUGGUGGGGAAAUUUUUUUUGAGAACCAUCGAGUUAGUGCUAGCAUAGAAUCUAACAAGAAAUGGCCCUGCAUCCAUUCUCUUUUCUUCUAAUAACAGCCCCAGAUUUCCAUUUUUGGACCUACCUUUUCCUUUUUAUCAGGCUAAGUGUUCAUGGUGGGGCUCUGUCCUUAGUUCCAGGGAUAAAGCCUGUGACCCAAACUUAAACCGCAGAUCAUUUUCCCCAGGCCAUGGAGAUUGUUUCAAAUGUGGGCACAUGGCCUGAAUGGGUCAUAUCAGAGUAAAUCUUAGGGCUUCUGGGUUAUGCCACCAUCACAGGCUCUUGCUUUCCUCACUGAACUUGAACCUAGACGGAUGUAAGCUGGAGCUGUGGCAGCCAUCAUUGCCCUGUGAAAAGUCCACUUGGAGCUGCCAAAGACCACCCCAGGAGCUUCAGAAUGAAGACAACCUGGAAGUCAGAGCUGACAGAAACCUCUUUACUUUUAGAAAUAAGGUGAAGUUAGCUUGAGGAAAGAGCUGUAAGGAAGAGUGAAGUCAGCUGAGUCAAGGACACAAGCGGAAAAUGUGCAAAGAUGAGCCAGAAGCAUGGAAAAGUACCUCCAAGACAGAGGAGAACUGAUCCAAGAGAAAGGAGAUGGGAGUGGGCAUCACGUACAGCCAGAGGGCGCCACCUGCCGAAAUGCCUCUUAUUGUUUACAUUAUGAAGUCUCAACUUGGAUGGAAGCCCAACUGCAACACGGCCUCCUAAAAUGAGACGCAACUGUUCAACUGAACUGUUCUCAGGACUAAAAGGCUGUGUCAAUAAGAUACGGGGAAUAUUUGUUCUUCUGUGUGUUCCGAUCCUUGUUUUUCUUUCCCUUCGUUGAUCUCUUGUUUCACAACUUCCAACCCAAAUCUGCUCACAGCUACUAACUUGGCUUUUAACAUAUGAAACUUUCUAAAAGUAAAGUUUCAAAUGGGGAAUGAAGAGGCUCAGAAUACACUACCCCAAAACAUGUCACUCAGAACACAUCAUCCCCAAAUAUGCCACUUUGGCAUCAGAAUUAUUUUAAACUAAAGGCACAUAAAAACAGGAGAUGCAAGAAGAUCACUCUGACCUUCACUGUUCUUUAAAAGCCAGAGAUGAAAUUCCCAUGUGAAAGGUGUUCUCCCUAAACCAAGAAGAAAGUAACAUUCUCAUCACAAAGGAUAGGAAGUUGAGGCUGAUAGGAAUCUAUACAAGCAUCCCUUAUGUUCCUAAUUACUUAUUUACCCAGUUAUUUACCCUAGCAUAAGCCCCUUUGCCUUGUUACAUUUUCACAAUUCAGGGCAUAAAUGUUUGACUCUAGCUGCUGCUUUGUGUCUUCAUUUCCUUAUGAAUGCUCUCCUGCCAUUAAAAAACUUGCAUUAAAUAAUUUAUAUACUUUUCUCCUGUUGAUUUGUCUUAUGUCUAUUUAAUUCUCCAGGCCCAGGCAACAAACAAACAAACAAGAAAACAAAACAAAAACAAAAAACCCCCAACAACAACAACAACAAAACCAUAAAAGAGGAGGGGCAAAUUUUUGCCUCCUCUUCUGCAUUUUUCACAUGCUUUAUCCUGUUUUCACUUCUUUACUUUCUGGCACUAUAAGGUGUUCCAGGCUCAUCUUAUAUUUAUUUUCCCUAUCCUAGCCCUGGAAUCAGCCACUUCUACACUUCUUGAAGGAGUCCUGGUUCCUUUCAUCAGGGAACGGCAUUUCGAAAUCAAGAUCUGAGUGCUGGCUGUGCUCAUUGCUACUGGUGUCACUGCUCAUAGUCUCCUCUCUCUCAGUGGGCAGAGCUAGGUAAUUCAUGUAUGUAUAACUGACCCAUAUAUGCACACAUAUUAUAUUUUUGUAUCUACUAAAAAUAAAUCAACCAUGAGUUCAUACUGAUAUUUCUAACUCCAGUCCAGCACCAGGAUUUAUUCUAGCAUUAUCUCUGCUUAUUUGUAACUUCUUUCUGACAAUGAGAAAAGUGGAUCCCAUAGCUUACACUAUAUUUAAUUAUUUUUGAGCCCAAGUAUACCAUAGGUUUAGGGUUGUUUGUGAAAAACGAAUUUACCAAUGAGAGUUUGUUGCUUCUGUACUGUUCUUCUUGUCUUUGGCCUGACACUCUCCAGUCAAAACAUUGCUUUACAAAGGCACUUAGGUCAGCUCGUUUCUUCCCUCCUAACUUCCGUAUGGUUAUGUUUUUUUAUUUGUAAUACGGUUAGAUUCAUUUUAGCAGUCCGCUUUUCAUCUUGGAUUUCCCCAAGAUCUCAGUUGAUUUUUUAAAAAUUUGUAUACAGCAAAGUUUACCCUUUGUGGUGUAUAGGUUUAUGGGAUUGAGAAAGGCAUAGAGUCACGUGUACAACAAGACAGUUUAACUCAGAACAAUUGGACUGCCCAAAAGUUUCCUAAUGAGGCCCUUUAGUGGGGCAUCAUUUCAUAGGACUCCCCCAACUCCAGGCAACCACGGAUUUGUUUUCUAUUUUUAUAAUUUUGCUUUUUCCAGAAUGCCAUAUAAAUAGAAUCAUUCAGUAUGUAACAUUUUGGAUUUUCUCUCAUUUAGCAAAAAGAAUUUCAGAUUCAUUCAUGUGUUGUGGGUUGAUACUUUUUAUUGCUGAAUGGUAUCCCAUUGUCUGGAUAUACACAGACUUACUUACCCUUUCAUCUGUGAAAGACAGCUGAACUAUUUCUAGCUUUGGUAAUGAAUAAAGCUGCUAUAAACAUUCAGGGCCAGGCACAGUGGCUCACGCUUAUAAUCCCAGUACUUUGGGA